This 238-nucleotide ribosomal RNA is filed under the name Escherichia coli. RNAcentral's name for it is "partial 23S ribosomal RNA". It matches the Rfam family "Bacterial large subunit ribosomal RNA", at positions 1541 to 1776 of the family's 2925-position model. Lineage: Bacteria; Pseudomonadati; Pseudomonadota; Gammaproteobacteria; Enterobacterales; Enterobacteriaceae. The record is from RNAcentral.
UCCGGAAAAUCAAGGCUGAGGCGUGAUGACGAGGCACUACGGUGCUGAAGCAACAAAUGCCCUGCUUCCAGGAAAAGCCUCUAAGCAUCAGGUAACAUCAAAUCGUACCCCAAACCGACACAGGUGGUCAGGUAGAGAAUACCAAGGCGCUUGAGAGAACUCGGGUGAAGGAACUAGGCAAAAUGGUGCCGUAACUUCGGGAGAAGGCACGCUGAUAUGUAGGUGAAGUCCCUCGCGG